RNAcentral lists this ribosomal RNA (301 nucleotides) under uncultured bacterium. RNAcentral's name for it is "partial 16S ribosomal RNA". It matches the Rfam family "Bacterial small subunit ribosomal RNA", at positions 509 to 807 of the family's 1533-position model. The record is from RNAcentral.
CAGUAGCCGCGGUAAAACGUAGGUGGCAAGCGUUGUCCGGAAUUAUUGGGCGUAAAGGGCUCGCAGGCGGUUUCUUAAGUCUGAUGUGAAAGCCCCCGGCUCAACCGGGGAGGGUCAUUGGAAACUGGGAAACUUGAGUGCAGAAGAGGAGAGUGGAAUUCCACGUGUAGCGGUGAAAUGCGUAGAGAUGUGGAGGAGCACCAGUGGCGAAGGCGACUCUCUGGUCUGUAACUGACGCUGAGGAGCGAAAGCGUGGGGAGCGAACAGGAUUAGAUACCCCAGUAGUCCCUGUCUCUUAUAC